RNAcentral lists this long non-coding RNA (320 nucleotides) under Fukomys damarensis (Damara mole-rat). RNAcentral's name for it is "lncRNA (ENSFDAG00000032662.1)". The record is from RNAcentral. Lineage: Eukaryota; Metazoa; Chordata; Mammalia; Rodentia; Bathyergidae.
CUGAAACUGCAAGAGAAAUUCCAUCUCAUAACUAUUGGAUGUGUUUCCAUGGAGGACUGGGUCCAGGAGUGACCCAUGCCUACAUACUCCAAGUGCAGAGGGAAGACGGCCCAGGUGGAAGGGUCCCCGUGAGUACAAUGCAGGUGAGGCGGAAGAAGAUUGACACAGAUGUGAUUCAACAGCAGCCAAGUCUACACAUCGAUAAGAAAACAUCUACGUAUGGUGCAUUCUGGAAGAAAGGAUUCUAGGAAUCCAGGAAAACCAUCCACGGAGGGCCAGUUUAUGAAAGCCCAUGGUGCAUGGUUACAGGAAGAUGUUUC